UAAGGAAUAUUGCUCAAUGGGAGAAAUCCUGAAGCAGCAACGCCGCGUGGAGGAUGAAGGGUCUAUGACUUGUAAACUCCUGUAAAGAAGGAAAAAAUUCCCAUUAGAUGGGAGAUGAUGGUACUUCUGGAGUAAGCCCCGGCUAACUACGUGCCAGCAGCCGCGGUAAUACGUAGGGGGCAAGCGUUGUCCGGAUUUACUGGGUGUAAAGGGUGCUCAGGCGGAUUUGUAAGUCAGAGGUGAAAUCUUACAGCUUAACUGUGAAACUGCCUUUGAUACUGCAAGCCUAGAGUAUGGAAGAGAGUGAUGGAAUAUCUGGUGUAGCAGUGAAAUGCGUAGAUAUCAGAUAGAACACCAAUGGCGAAGGCAGUCACUUGGUCCAUUACUGACGCUAAAGCACGAAAGCGUGGAUAGCAAACA
This 420-nucleotide ribosomal RNA is filed under the name uncultured bacterium. RNAcentral describes it as "bacterial SSU rRNA". It matches the Rfam family "Bacterial small subunit ribosomal RNA", at positions 355 to 774 of the family's 1533-position model. The record is from RNAcentral.